Molecule: ribosomal RNA, 880 nt
Filed under: uncultured bacterium
Lineage: Bacteria
Description: bacterial SSU rRNA
Rfam family: Bacterial small subunit ribosomal RNA
Source: RNAcentral
GGCUUAGAGUUUGAUCAUGGCUCAGGAUGAACGCUAGCGACAGGCUUAACACAUGCAAGUCGAGGGGCAGCACAGGUAGCAAUACCGGGUGGCGACCGGCGCACGGGUGAGUAACGCGUAUGCGACUUGCCUAUCAGAGGGGGAUAACCCGGCGAAAGUCGGACUAAUACCGCAUGAAGCAGGGGCCCCGCAUGGGGAUAUUUGCUAAAGAUUCAUCGCUGAUAGAUAGGCAUGCGUUCCAUUAGGCAGUUGGCGGGGUAACGGCCCACCAAACCGACGAUGGAUAGGGGUUCUGAGAGGAAGGUCCCCCACAUUGGUACUGAGACACGGACCAAACUCCUACGGGAGGCAGCAGUGAGGAAUAUUGGUCAACGGGCGUAAGCCUGAACCAGCCAAGUCGCGUGAGGGAUGAAGGUUCUAUGGAUCGUAAACCUCUUAUAUAAGGGAAUAAAGUGUGGGACGUGUCCCGUUUUGUAUGUACCUUAUGAAUAAGGAUCGGCUAACUCCGUGCCAGCAGCCGCGGUAAUACGGAGGAUCCGAGCGUUAUCCGGAUUUAUUGGGUUUAAAGGGUGCGUAGGCGGCCUUUUAAGUCAGCGGUGAAAGUCUGUGGCUCAACCAUAGAAUUGCCGUUGAAACUGGGGGGCUUGAGUAUGUUUGAGGCAGGCGGAAUGCGUGGUGUAGCGGUGAAAUGCUUAGAUAUCACGCAGAACCCCGAUUGCGAAGGCAGCCUGCCAAGCCAUGACUGACGCUGAUGCACGAAAGCGUGGNGGAUCAACAGGAUUAGAUACCCUGGUAGUCCACGCAGUAAACGAUGAUCACUAGCUGUUUGCGAUACACUGUAAGCGGCACAGCGAAAGCGGUAAGUGAUCCACCUGGGGAG